This 77-nucleotide ribosomal RNA is filed under the name Desulfoprunum sp. Lineage: Bacteria; Pseudomonadati; Thermodesulfobacteriota; Desulfobulbia; Desulfobulbales; Desulfobulbaceae. The record is from RNAcentral.
CGAACACGGAAGUUAAGCUCUUCAGCGCCGAUGGUACUGCAUGGGAGACUAUGUGGGAGAGUAGGUCACUGCCGAAU